UAUCGGAUGUCAUUAUUCAUUAGCCGGUAGAAUGCUAGGAAACAUUUGAAUAAGGAAUGUGACGCAAAAGGGUAGAAGAACUAGGUUUCAACAAUUAUUGUCAGUUAUAAUCUUACAUAACUGGGAUGGUUGCUUUUGUACUGAUUUCUACUGUUAAUUUUAUUAUUGUUUUUUCUCGCGACUAUUAUUUAUGUAUAUAAUUUAAGAUUAGAAACUAGUGCGAUUUAAUGUUAAUAUUGUCAUCUGCCGACAAGUUGAAAGAUAUGGAAGAUAAGUGUAACUCCGGGGAAUCGCACGGUGCAAAAACCAAAGAACCGGACUUUCUUUUAACAAGCAACACUUACAAAUCUAUUAAAGAAGACAGUUAUUAAACAAGGAAGAAAAAGAAGCUAUAGGCGAAGCGUAUAUACGCACCGAAAGAAUAAAAAAAUGAUGAUGCUGUGACAGAUGAAUAUCUAGAAAGUAGAGCGUCUUUUGUAGGAUCAAGUCUUUCUGUAACAAUUAGAGUAUCUAAGCCUCCAAAAAUUAUCGAUGUUGCCGACGGUUUGACAAACUUGGUUCUUCAAAAACGACUAGUCUACCCUAUGCAGGAUUUACAUGUCAAUCUAUAAUCCUUCUGGAAACACCGUCCGAUUUACGAAGAGAUACGACAAGACUUGCCACAGCCAAAGGUGCAUCAAUCGCUUGUGUAGAUGCCUCUCACAAGAGAAAGACUGGUCAUUUUGGUCAAUCAAGGACCAAUGGGCCAGAUUUUCUUUCACCAA
This is a long non-coding RNA of Vespula vulgaris, 764 nucleotides long. RefSeq lists it as uncharacterized. Lineage: Eukaryota; Metazoa; Arthropoda; Insecta; Hymenoptera; Vespidae. The transcript is spliced from 4 exons. The record is from RefSeq and is a predicted model, not a curated record.